CUGACGUCCACAAUAUUAUAACCAAGAUGAAAUCACUCCUUCAUCUCAAUUCUCUUUCAUUCUUCAUCACCCUCUUUUUAUUUUCUAUCUCAUAACUCACCGAAGAAGAUUCACAAACGACAUGAGUGAAUCAACAUCUCUAUGCUCUGAAGGGUACUUAAUAGCCCGUGGAGCUCUUUUCGGAAAGAGAAGUAUCGUCGGGAAGCUCCCUAACUGAAGCUCUUGCUUAGCAAACUCCUUCUGCUCACCGUCAGCUCGGAAUUUCGCCACUUUAACUCCUUUUCCCGCAAGUUUCUCAGCCAAUUCGAUGUACGAUGCUUCCAUCGCCUGGCAGAAAGGGCACCAAGGAGCGUAAAGUACGACCAACCACGCCUCUUUACGGUUCUCUAGCUUCAAAAGAUUCUCAACCCCUCCUUUGCUCAAUGCAACCACAUUGUUGCUUUCAAAUAUCUCUUGCACAGCAGCAGGCUUUGAGUCUGCAGCACCAUCUUCCUCCUUGAUGUUCCCUUUGUGUAGACCACAUUCUUUAGCUUUAGCAUCUUCCCACCACCACCUUCCUUCUCUCUCAUGUUGGCCUGGAAGCACCGGCCUAGUACACGGCUCACACCCGAUUGACACAUACCCUUGUGCGUGCAAUGCAUUCACCGGAACAUCCAUAGUUCUCAGAAAGUUCCACACAUCAGCUCCUUCAACAUUAGCCAAAGGAUUCCACUUCACAAGACUUCCAACACCGCCAUCUAACCCUUCAAACACUGGAUCAACCUGAACAAUAGGGAUCUCAG
Molecule: long non-coding RNA, 782 nt
Organism: Arabidopsis thaliana (thale cress)
Lineage: Eukaryota; Viridiplantae; Streptophyta; Magnoliopsida; Brassicales; Brassicaceae
Product: other RNA
Exons: 1
Source: RefSeq